UUAAUUGAAGAGUUUGAUCAUGGCUCAGAUUGAACGCUGGCGGCAGGCCUAACACAUGCAAGUCGAGCGGUAACAGAGAGAAGCUUGCUUCUUUGCUGACGAGCGGCGGACGGGUGAGUAAUGCUUGGGAACAUGCCUUGAGGUGGGGGACAACAGUUGGAAACGACUGCUAAUACCGCAUAAUGUCUACGGACCAAAGGGGGCUUCGGCUCUCGCC
Molecule: ribosomal RNA, 217 nt
Filed under: Pseudoalteromonas sp. 5Ae-yellow
Lineage: Bacteria; Pseudomonadati; Pseudomonadota; Gammaproteobacteria; Alteromonadales; Pseudoalteromonadaceae
Description: partial 16S ribosomal RNA
Rfam family: Bacterial small subunit ribosomal RNA
Source: RNAcentral